Molecule: ribosomal RNA, 502 nt
Filed under: uncultured bacterium
Lineage: Bacteria
Description: bacterial SSU rRNA
Rfam family: Bacterial small subunit ribosomal RNA
Source: RNAcentral
AACGAACGCUGGCGGCGCGCCUAAUACAUGCAAGUCGAGCGAGAAGACGUAGCAAUACGUUUGUAAAGCGGCGAACGGGUGAGGAAUACAUGGGUAACCUACCCUCGAGUGGGGAAUAACUAGCCGAAAGGUUAGCUAAUACCGCGUACGCUCCUUGGACUUCGGUUCAGGGAGGAAAGCGAUACCGUGGGUAUCGCGCUCAUGGAUGGGCUCAUGUCCUAUCAGCUUGUUGGUGAGGUAACGGCUCACCAAGGCUUCGACGGGUAGCUGGUCUGAGAGGACGAUCAGCCACACUGGCACUGCGACACGGGCCAGACUCCUACGGGAGGCAGCAGUAAGGAAUAUUGCGCAAUGGGCGAAAGCCUGACGCAGCGACGCCGCGUGGGGGAUGAAGGUCUUCGGAUUGUAAACCCCUUUCGGGAGGGAAGAUGGAACGAGCAAUCGUUCGGACGGUACCUCCAGAAGCAGCCACGGCUAACUUCGUGCCAGCAGCCGCUGUAAC